Molecule: long non-coding RNA, 655 nt
Organism: Dermacentor silvarum
Lineage: Eukaryota; Metazoa; Arthropoda; Arachnida; Ixodida; Ixodidae
Exons: 3
Source: RefSeq, a predicted model, not a curated record
UGUGUCCAUGGCCUCUUGCGAGGCGCUGGACACGCGCUCUUUCGAGCGAUGUGGUUGCCUUGAAAGCCUCGCCUCGAAAGACGGGGCCUUGGAGCCCACCAGCCCGGAGGUUGAUGGGCCCUCUUUGGAUGGCGGAGCAGUACUGGCUGCACCCGCCAAGGGGGCGGAUGGCGUCAUCGCUGGCUCACUACGCGUGUGCCAGGCAGCCGCCGAAGGCCGUUGUGGUGCAGCCCCCUGACGCACCACUUCGGCGAAGCUGGUUUUUGGCAGCAUGGGCAGGACCGCGAGUACGCGGCAUGCUCCCCAUUACAGUUCGCACAGUGAAGAGAGUUUUCACAGGAUUCAGAGGUAUGUUCAUGAUUACUGCAUUUCGCACAAGUUUGCCGCCCUCGGCAGUUCUGUGAACUGUGCCCAAAUCGCUGGCACUUAAAACAUCUCAGAGGAUUUGGCACGUAUGGCCUCACACGAAGUUUGAUGUACCCGGCCUCGAUGGACUCGGGCAGAACACUUGAAUUGAAAACGGCGAUCAGGGAGUGAUGGGAAGGAACUAGCCAUAAGGAUAUAUGGAAUUUUCGGCAGCAACGCCAGCCACCCACCAUGGAGCCCAACAAGGGGACGCUGCAGGGCCUGUGAACACAGGUCCCGCAGACGCCAG